Molecule: long non-coding RNA, 408 nt
Organism: Helianthus annuus (common sunflower)
Lineage: Eukaryota; Viridiplantae; Streptophyta; Magnoliopsida; Asterales; Asteraceae
Exons: 2
Source: RefSeq, a predicted model, not a curated record
UAUUAUUGUAUUUAAGAAAGGUGAAUUCAAGUCUGGAUUUCAAUGUUAAGGUUGUCAGUUGUUGCUUCCAAAAUCCACCCAGUUGAUGCAACAGGCUCGUGUACCAGUGCAAGGAUGUAACUCGUCGGUUCAGAGGUCUAUUCUCUACUCUAUGGUGUGGUUUUUAUGGAAGGCGCGGAACAAUUAUAUUUUUCGGAACCAAAGAUCAUCCAUUGAAUGGCUAAUCGAAGACUGCUAUGCUCAGCUCGUCGCUUGGAUUUCGAACACGUCUAAGCACACUUCUAUCUGCUGGCGGAAAUGGUGUCGGUCCCCUGUGUCAUGUUUUUCUUAAGUGUUUGCUUUGUAGCUUGUUUUGGGUCGUUUGUGCUUUUUUCAUUUGCCGUUAAAAUUGACGGGUUUUAUACUUAA